This 197-nucleotide small nuclear RNA is filed under the name Trichobilharzia regenti. Its description in RNAcentral is "U2 spliceosomal RNA". It matches the Rfam family "U2 spliceosomal RNA". From Rfam's summary of the family: U2 is a small nuclear RNA (snRNA) component of the spliceosome (involved in pre-mRNA splicing). Lineage: Eukaryota; Metazoa; Platyhelminthes; Trematoda; Strigeidida; Schistosomatidae. The record is from Rfam by way of RNAcentral.
AUAACAUUUGGGCUGCUAUCUGAGCUAAGAUCAUGUGUAGCAUCUGUUCUUUGCAGUGUAAUUUCUGCAACCGCCUCUAAACUGAGACCAAUGAAAUUACAUGUAUUUUUCCCUUACGGACGGGUGCUGUGAGCUUGCUCAACCCCGUCCACGGGUCGGCCUCGUAUUGCAUUACCUUGAGGAUUGGCCCAUUUUUG